This 564-nucleotide ribosomal RNA is filed under the name Streptomyces litmocidini. RNAcentral's name for it is "bacterial SSU rRNA". It matches the Rfam family "Bacterial small subunit ribosomal RNA", at positions 93 to 671 of the family's 1533-position model. Lineage: Bacteria; Bacillati; Actinomycetota; Actinomycetes; Kitasatosporales; Streptomycetaceae. The record is from RNAcentral.
UAGUGGCGAACGGGUGAGUAACACGUGGGCAAUCUGCCCUUCACUCUGGGACAAGCCCUGGAAACGGGGUCUAAUACCGGAUAACACCGGCUCCUGCAUGGGGGCUGGUUGAAAGCUCCGGCGGUGAAGGAUGAGCCCGCGGCCUAUCAGCUUGUUGGUGGGGUAAUGGCCUACCAAGGCGACGACGGGUAGCCGGCCUGAGAGGGCGACCGGCCACACUGGGACUGAGACACGGCCCAGACUCCUACGGGAGGCAGCAGUGGGGAAUAUUGCACAAUGGGCGCAAGCCUGAUGCAGCGACGCCGCGUGAGGGAUGACGGCCUUCGGGUUGUAAACCUCUUUCAGCAGGGAAGAAGCGCAAGUGACGGUACCUGCAGAAGAAGCGCCGGCUAACUACGUGCCAGCAGCCGCGGUAAUACGUAGGGCGCAAGCGUUGUCCGGAAUUAUUGGGCGUAAAGAGCUCGUAGGCGGCUUGUCACGUCGGGUGUGAAAGCCCGGGGCUUAACCCCGGGUCUGCAUCCGAUACGGGCAGGCUAGAGUGUGGUAGGGGAGAUCGGAAUUCCU